This 253-nucleotide ribosomal RNA is filed under the name uncultured bacterium. Its description in RNAcentral is "partial 16S ribosomal RNA". It matches the Rfam family "Bacterial small subunit ribosomal RNA", at positions 524 to 776 of the family's 1533-position model. The record is from RNAcentral.
UACAGAGGGGGCUAGCGUUGUUCGGAAUUACUGGGCGUAAAGCGUGCGCAGGCGGUUCGCUAAGACCGAUGUGAAAUCCCCGGGCUUAACCUGGGAACUGCAUUGGUGACUGGCGGGCUAGAGUAUGGCAGAGGGGGGUAGAAUUCCACGUGUAGCAGUGAAAUGCGUAGAGAUGUGGAGGAAUACCGAUGGCGAAGGCAGCCCCCUGGGCCAAUACUGACGCUCAUGCACGAAAGCGUGGGGAGCAAACAGG